GCACCUUAUAGACUAACAGACGUAUUGGAGCAUAUUAGGAAUGGCAAUAUACAAAAACCUAUAGGAGAACACUUCAACCUCCCUGAACACACAAUAGCAGACUUAAAGGUAACCAUCCUGCAGCAAAAAAA
This is a non-coding RNA of Chelonoidis abingdonii (Abingdon island giant tortoise), 131 nucleotides long. NCBI's taxonomy places the organism in Eukaryota, Metazoa, Chordata, Testudines, Testudinidae. The record is from RefSeq and is a predicted model, not a curated record.